AAUAUGGUUAACUUGUAAGGUCCGGGUUUGGAAGAUUUCUUCGAUGCCCGGUUAAAAGGGAAGCCGGUGAGAAUCCGGCACGGUCCCGCCACUGUGAAACAGGGAUAUUCUCUUCGUGCCACUGUUCUGCGGCAAGCAGGAUGGGAAGGCGAGAAUAUCAGCGAACCUGUGAGUCAGGAAACCUGCCUUACGAGCCGUACGACG
RNAcentral lists this non-coding RNA (204 nucleotides) under Paenibacillus sp. Lineage: Bacteria; Bacillati; Bacillota; Bacilli; Caryophanales; Paenibacillaceae. The record is from RNAcentral.